ACUGUUAGCGGCUGGCACAUUUUGUGGAUUUUUCUAUACCACCGUAAUUUAUCUCCCUUUUCUUGAAUGAAAUUUUUGAUCUAGUAAACAUAAUAAAGAGGGUAUUAUAUCCCAGAUAAUAUACACAACAAAAUGAGCGCGUGUACCGUGGAAGUCGUGAAAAUACUUGGAAAAUAUCUCAACGUACCGGUUGGCACUGCUUGCUACAGUACGGAAAAGGUAGUGACUGCGGUAAUUAACAAGCGAAGUGUCGAAGGCUUUGCUACGAUAAUUUUGCGUUUAGCGUCACAAAGCGGUGUACAAAUGACGCAAAAACAAACCUUGCUAUGCUACCAGUGGCUAGAACACAUCUCUAUGUAUGCCAACCAGGCAGCAGCUAACCCGGCAUUUGCUAAGAGUUUCCUACAAGAUAUUAAUAAAGCUUUGCAGAGAAACACAUAUCUAACCGGACAAUCAUUAAACAUUGCAGAUGUGGCUGCCUACCAUGUUUUAUAUCCUUUACUGGAGCGCCUUUCCAUCUCUGAAAGAGAGUCAUUGCUGCACCUCUGUAGAUGGUCAAAGCACAUCCAGGCUCAACCGAACGUGUGUGUCAACCGACCUCCUCUACCAAUGAACACCCUGACCCUCACUACAUUAGCUCCAGCCGUGCAUUAGUGUUGUAAGUAUGUAGCAAAGAGUUAUUAUUAGUCAAACAGGCAGUGUUGGCCCAAACGUUAAUGCAAUUAACCAUUCUUCUUCUUCCUCGGUCCCUCAUUGCUGAGGAUCGCGACCAUGUAUGCUCCGUCUCCAUAUGAGUCACGCACUGCAUGUUGCCGCCAACCACCCCCUUCACACCAUCAGACCAUCUCGUGGGUGCUUUUCCUUAACUAUUAACCAGUACAAAUUGAAACGUAAACUGUAACCGUCCGUUACGGUUUACGGUUCAAUUUGUACUGGUUAACGGUUAAUUGCAAUUAACGUUCGGCCAACACUGAAAAGAGGUAUGUAGUCAGAAAACUUUGAGCCUCAAAUUUGACAGCCAAAGUAGAUGUCGCUCUGCAGCCACAUUAAUUUAUGUGAAAUCACUGGUUGUCUAAAGUAGACAUUUUCAAUUUGGAUUAUUACAUAUUCAUUUUAUUGAAAACUUUGCACCACAUAACGCCAUCUAGAUAAGUUGUCAAAAUCUGGGGUACAUUUUUUUAUUACACUACAUCUCUUUUACAAUCAAUAACUGAAGUAAAUUAUUUGAUACCUAGUGAAAAGAUCUCUUGAGGAAUAAAAGUAUUUAGUUGAUUGACCUUGAAUGUAGGUAAUAAUAAUAAAAUGUAAGAUUCAAUUUAAAAUAAAUUAUUUCUUCCAUGAGAUUUGUUAUGUAAGUUAUAUGUUACAUUUUAUUUGAACACCUUAUCAGUUCCCCGUAUUUCAUGUAGUGAAUACAUUGCUGUAGCUAUGUUUCUGAUAUUAUUAUUUAGUACUUUUACCUUAUGUUUAUCAAGAAACUACAUGUUUUGUACCGGGGCGCCUUUGAACAUGGAUGGGCUCCCAAACCCAGUAUUACCACAUGAAAUUAGAAAUAUGACGAAAUUUAAUUCCU
This is an RNA transcript of Cydia strobilella, 1573 nucleotides long. RefSeq lists it as uncharacterized. The record is from RefSeq and is a predicted model, not a curated record. Lineage: Eukaryota; Metazoa; Arthropoda; Insecta; Lepidoptera; Tortricidae. The transcript has 5 exons.